Molecule: long non-coding RNA, 1055 nt
Filed under: Physcomitrium patens
Lineage: Eukaryota; Viridiplantae; Streptophyta; Bryopsida; Funariales; Funariaceae
Description: long non-coding RNA (PPAT_LNC009136)
Source: RNAcentral
CCCCUUGGCUGCUACAGGUGCUGCUGCUGCGACUGCACCUUCGGCAAGGUGGAGUGCUGGAUCGUUGAGGAUGUCCCUUCCGUGCGCCUUCGUCUCAUCUGGUACUUGAAUAUGUGUUCUCUCAGUGAUUACGAGUGAUGUCGUAGGGUGCGUGAGACUGGACGCUGAGCUCAUUGCCCUUUGCGUGCAGAGGUACAUGCUUCGAGCUCCAGCAUUGCAUUCAAUGAUGGUAGGAUUCUUCUGCGAACGGCAGCAAGGCCCGUCGAAAGGCGCAGGCAAGGUCGAUUUGAAGUGUGCGGUCUUUUUGGACUUGGUGUCCCUGAGCUUGCAGUCAUUGCCGGAGUGGCCGCCCUUGUGUUCGGCCCAAAGCAGCUCCCCGCCAUAGGCAAGAGUCUUGGCAAAACUGUGAAGAGCUUUCAGACGGUACGCACGGGAUAUACGGUGUCUUCAUACCUGCUUAUAAUUUCCUUGUCAUUGGGUGUGUUAUUUUUGCGUCUACACCCUAGCAAUGCUGAAUUUGGAGUGAACUGUCCCUCAUGUUGUUUUAGUACAUUCCUCGAUGUAACUCAUCUUUUGAAUACCAGUCUCUAUUUCAAUUUUUCGGUAUUUUGAGAGGUUGCAAAUUCGAUAUGAUGAAGCCUGUUCGCAUUCCUCGGUUCUGCUUUUGUGUCAAAUGGCAUGAGAGUUCACAAGAUGUGUGUUAGCUACCAGUUCGAUUUUCUUCGGUUCCUCCGCUCUACACUCGUUAUCCAAGUUUGAUCAAAUGCCUUUUUGUUUUUUAUUUAUUUAUUUAUUUUUAAUUUAAUUUUGUUUUGUUUUUUGUUUUUGUUUUUUGUUUUUUGUUGCAGGCGGCGAAAGAGUUCGAAUCAGAAAUUUCCAAGGCAAAGGAGUCUGGCGAGGAAGGACAGGACAGCACUGCAGUAGGAGAGACGCCCAAGGAGGGAGUUGUAACGUCACCGAAGAAUUCUGAAACGGAUUCUAAUUCCAGUUGAUGGUACAAGGUUUUGUUAUCCGAUCCUAGAAUCUGUAAUAUUGUUAUUGAAGCCUAGUCUUGU